GCAAUAUUUCAUUGACGUACAAAAUUAGUUACCUCAAUUUAACUACAUAUGGCAGCCUACACGCAUUGUGCAAUAGCCCGUUUCUAACAAUCUUUAAAAGACUAGCCUAGAAUAUGGCUCAAGAGUAUUAACUUUAAUACUCAAAUCUUCACAACACCAAUGUUUUAUAUUAUGUCAGUUAGGAAACUAGGCCAUAGAAAAUAAGUAUAAGGGGUGACCAAAAAUGGUGCCAGCAGUCGCGGUUAUACCAAUACCCCAAGCUAAUUUUAGCAAAUAGGAAUAACUUUUUAUUCGUAGACUACAAAAUCGACUUUUAGCGUAAAAAACAAAUUAUAACUAAACCCUACCCAGUCUUACUAAGGCUAUUCCAACAAACCAUAACCUCAGAACUCGGAUCAGAUACCCGACUACUGUAUGGCUCAACACUUAAAAGAAUACUACGAGCGAAAGCUUAAACCUCAAACAAUGUGGCGGUGCUUUAUUCCUCAUCAGGGGAUCCUGUGGCUUAAUUCGAUAACCCACGAAAAAUCUAAGCUAUUCUCGUUAACAGCUUGUGUAUGGCCGUUUAUGCUUGCUCACAAAAGAAAAAGAAGGAAGCAACAGGGCUAAUUACCCAAAAAUUCAGGUGACAUACAGCCAAUGAAAAGCAGGUCCAUGGGAUACAAAUAAACAUACUACCAAAUUUAAAGUUUAGAACCUUAAUGAAGGAGGACUUGAAAGUAAGAUUUAAUUUUUAGAAAAAAAAUCUGAAUAUGAACUAAAGCGCGCACAAAUCGCCCGUCACUCCGACAAUAAAGUAGGAUAAGUCGUAACACAGUAGAGGUAAUAGAAAUUGCCCCUAUAACAA
This 847-nucleotide ribosomal RNA is filed under the name Prolasmidonta heterodon. RNAcentral describes it as "12S ribosomal RNA". The record is from RNAcentral. Lineage: Eukaryota; Metazoa; Mollusca; Bivalvia; Unionida; Unionidae.